Hordeum vulgare subsp. vulgare (domesticated barley) is the source of this 2758-nucleotide RNA transcript. RefSeq lists it as uncharacterized. The transcript is spliced from 7 exons. The record is from RefSeq and is a predicted model, not a curated record. NCBI's taxonomy places the organism in Eukaryota, Viridiplantae, Streptophyta, Magnoliopsida, Poales, Poaceae.
ACCUGCAGGGCCCGAGGAAAAAAACAUUACCACAGCAAGAGCACUGGCUCGCCCCUCUCCUUGCCCACGAAGUCACCGCCGCCGCCGCUGCCCAUGCUGGGCACUUCCGACGACCUACAGCGGCACGCAGUACGCUCCCGAGCUCCCCACGGUCUGCGCGUCCCUCUCCUCCGGCCAGAUUCUUGGCUCCCAUCCUGAACCGCCCGGUUGGAACCACCCCGUGGCUAGGGUUUCGGGCAGGGCUGCGCCGGCGCAUCUCCAGCGGCCCUAGGAGCAGGAUCUGUUGUACAAUUAGAGUCUGCAGUUUGCUUUCCAGGAGUAGGAGAUGGAUCUCUGUUCCUGUGUUUGGGGAAAAGAAAAUUCUGAAUUUGGCAACAAAAGUGUGAACCAUCACCAUUCAGUGUCAAAUUAUCUAAAGGUGUUGGCAUGGCCUAGUUUACCUCAUAAGAUGAGCACUGUAUUUAUUCCUCGCAAUGGACCUCAAUAGCGUGGUCGGAAUAAUCCAUUUCUUUCCGUUGAUUUACAACACAAGAUCCUUCAUUAUUGACAAAUGAUUCUGCACACCGGCUAGCACAAAAUCAGAAUUACUUUCUUCAGAUGGAGUUCUCUGGAUCAUCAGGAUCCUUCAUAUACACACCGGAAACUCAAAGCGAGAUAGCCACAGUUAUUCAGGGGGUUUUGCUUGGUCUUUUUCUACUUCCCUUGCUGUACAGAAGUUCUCUUCGAGUUUGGGUUUACUGUCGAACAUUGGGAAGCAACAAAUAGAAGCAAUUGAGGAACGAGAAAAUAGGAAGUAAUGAGAAAAGAAGAAAGUUUGUAUGACAUUAGUGGACCAGAUGAGUGCAGAAAUCUUAUCAUAAAUAUCUAUAUGUUUGCUAUAAAAAAAGAGCAAAUCUGAUGGUCUGUAUAAUUUUAAUUUUACUGGGAGAUGGAGUUCUCUGGAUCAUCAGGAUCAUUCAUAUACACACCUGAAACUCAAAGCGAGAUAGCCACAGUUAUUCAGGGGAUUUUGCUUGGUCUUUUUCUACUUCCCUUGUUGUACAAAAGUUCUCUUCGAGUUUGGGUUUACUGUCGAACAUUGGGCAAGCAACAAACAGAAGCAAUUGAGAAACAAGCAGAAAAAAGAGCAGGUUUCCGUCAUAGAUUUAUCUUCUUUUGAUGAUUCGGCGACAGUUUGCUUCCGUCUUCUUGUGAAUUCUUCGUUACGCUCAUGUAUCAAUGUUUGCCUUUUUCCUCCUGCGACACAAUUCCUGUGUUUUGUAGUUAAUUUGGAGCUUCUAACUUCCUCUUCGGUUGCGACAUAUUCAGGGUUCUCCAUUGCAAUUGAAUCCUUUGAUGGUGUGUUGCGUUUCAAUUGGCGACGAACUUCAAUUUGUUCUACUCUUGCUUUCUUCCGUUCUGGUUGCAUGUUUUCGUAUUUUUUUUCUUGUGUGCGUUGUGUCGCCUUUUGUUCUGGUGUCUUUUCUGAAUAUUUCUUUUGAUGAUAGGCUUCGCGCCUUUUUUUCAGUUUGUCCUGCCUUUCUUCCUCGGUCAUCCGUUCAUUCCGCUCUUUAUUUUUCCUUUUUAUUUUUUCCUUUGACUCCUGCCUUUCUUCAUUUGUCAUCCGUGCAUACCGAUCUCUAUCUCUCUUUCUUUUUUGUUCUUUGGCUGCAUCCAUUUGCUCCAAAUAAGUUUCAUGUAUGAGAUUUUGUAUAAUGUAAGAAUUCCAAAUUAAUGAUAUAAUAGAUUUAAUCUGUACAAGGCAGUAUUAUAUUUUUAACAUAGCAUCCUGAAAAAUAUAUAUUAAUAGAACGCUCAUCCAUACAGGUUUAAAGGGGCAGUCUGGUGAUAUGAGUAUUUGUACAAACUAUCUAGGACUUCAAGUUGACAUGCGCAUUUUUUUAUUUACCUACGAACUACAGAUGACAUCGAGUAGAUCGAUUAGUGCUAUCUCCAGAUUUCUAUCACCAGAUUUCUAUCAUCAUGUUACUGCAUUUAUGUUCAUAUGAGUUUCACUGGGAGAUGCAACAUAGUGUUUUUGAGUGGGCAUGAGACUUGGUUCAUAUGGAUAUAAACUGGUAGUACUUAUAUAGCUUGACAGUGUUAUAUGGUUGCUGGUUAACAUUUAGGCUUACAUCACAUAUGCAUGUUAAUGACCAGAUGCCAUAACUGAUAUGUUUUGCUCUAUUAUAACUCAGCAAAUUUUAGCAAAUUUCUGAUUGUAUCUCAGAUUAUUCUAUGGUAGGCAUCACCUUCAAGUAUAUACAAGUUAUCUGAUAAGUAUCAUAUAGUGUUGCAGACAGCGUACCUCAGAUGGAACACGGGCUGUCCAGCGAUGUGUUAGUUUCAACGGCUCGUAUGCUGGUGUAUAAAGGGCACGACUUGUUGUGCGAAGUUGACGUACAAAGUAGCUAAUCCAGGGGAAUCUAUGUCCUAUUUUUAUAAAGGAGCAUCAUUGUGUAUCUAAUUAGAUUAGGAUUCGGACUCUUGCAUCACCUGUAUGUAAUUAGAUUAGAAUUCGGACUCUUGCACCAUGUGUAUGUAAUUAGAUUAGAAUUCGGACUCUUGCUUAGCAUAGCUGUAAUUUGAUUAGAGUACGGACUCAUGCAAAGCAAAGACAGCUUCGACUGCAAACACUGCUGCAACAGUGUACAGUAUACAGUGAACAUUAUACAGUUGAGAACAGUGUAUAGUGUAAAGUGAUCCAAUAGGACUUGAGCAUUAUUUAAUGUAGAAUCAUGCUACUAUUUGAGUUGCUUAAAUAAAUUGGUUUGAUUUA